CGCUCUUUGUAAAAUUGUUAACGUAUAAAGAGUCCUGCCUGCCCAGUGACGUUGUUAAACGGCCGCGGUAUCUUGACCGUGCAAAGGUAGCAUAAUCAUUUGCCCUUUAAAUGGGGGCUGGUAUGAAUGGCAAGACGGAGGCUAAGCUGUCUCUUUCUUAUAUCUUGAAUUUAAUAUUUUUGUGAAGAAGCAGAAAUAUGUCCGCAGGACGAGAAGACCCUAUCGAGCUUAAACACAGAAAGUAUUAACAAACUUGUCGGGCUUUGUUCCUAAUUUAAUUAAGAUUUAAUUAUUCUAAGAUUAAUUACUUUGGCCCAAAAAUGUUAAGUGCAGCUGUUUUGAUUGGGGCAAUCGUGGAGAAGAAAAUCCUCCAUUAAAAAAUAAAAAAAACUACAGUUUUGUUGGUUAAAUUAAAUGAUCCGCCGUAUGGCGAGCAAAGGAAUAAGUUACCGUAGGGAUAACAGCGUAAUUUUUUUGGAGAGUUCAUAUUGAUAAAAAAGUUUGCGACCUCGAUGUUGGAUCGGGAUUUCCUGGGGAUGCAGCAGUUCCUAAGGGUUGGUCUGUUCGACCAUUAAAAUCCU
RNAcentral lists this ribosomal RNA (581 nucleotides) under cf. Pedicellasteridae sp. CLM-2010-3. RNAcentral describes it as "partial 16S ribosomal RNA". It matches the Rfam family "Bacterial large subunit ribosomal RNA", at positions 1816 to 2597 of the family's 2925-position model. The record is from RNAcentral. Lineage: Eukaryota; Metazoa; Echinodermata; Asteroidea; Forcipulatida.